Molecule: non-coding RNA, 1573 nt
Organism: Chiloscyllium plagiosum (whitespotted bambooshark)
Lineage: Eukaryota; Metazoa; Chordata; Chondrichthyes; Orectolobiformes; Hemiscylliidae
Source: RefSeq, a predicted model, not a curated record
AAUCUAAUCUAAACUACAUGUGACUCCAGAUCCACAGUGACGUGGUUGACUCUGAACUGCCCUCAAGAAAAUUAUGGAUGGCUAUUGAAAAGACAGGUCAAUGUUCCAUGCAGGAGAGUUAAAUGGCUUGGCAAAUUAUUUGAUUAACAUUCUAGAUGGGCUUAAAAAACAUCAGCUAUAUUGCAUUAAUAUACUGAAGUAAUAUUGCUGUUGGAAGAAAACAUAAGCCAGUACAGUUAUAAAAGAAUAGCGAUGAUAAAGUAGAUUAAUAGGAUUGUUAGUGCCAGAUUUCUUACCAAAAUAGAUUUGUUAAAGGAAUACUGGCAAGCUCCUUUAACAUCCAGUGCUGAAGAAAUAUUGGCCUUUGUCACAUCAGUCAGUUUUUUCCAAUGCUGAGUGCUGUCAUUUAGACGAAAUAUGGCUUUCCAAAAGCUGAUGAUUCAAGUAGUAGCCAAUGAUCCUAACUGUGUAGAUUACCAAGAUGAUGCAUUGACAUAGUGACAUUUGAAAAGACUGCUUGGAACAAUUAGAACCUUUGUUGAGGAAACAAUUAGCUAAGUAGCUUUCUGCAAAGCUACCAGGAACCUACUUAGGGUAAACAGUAAGCCAAGAACCAGUGCUAGCAAGAACAGCAGAAGCACAAGUGUUAGAGAAGUUCCUUGCCCAUAAAAUUAAAUAUGAAUAAAUAAGAUUGGGAGGGGGGGGGGGGGUACUUUUUAUUUAUUAACGUUAUACGUUUGUACCAAGUUUCAGCACCGUAGCUGCUCACUGAUGGAUUUGUCCAAAGGAAAGCCAGGAUAGUAUCGUCAGGGUGGAGAUUGUGAAGGCUUUCAUACUUCAUGUUUUGAGGACUGAGCUUUGGACUUUUGUGGAAAAAUUAAUUUAUGAAUUAUCAUGAAGAUACCUCGAUUAGUUUCUCCAAAAUAAGUAAUUGAAAUUUUACUGUGCACAUUGGACCUUUUAUAAAAAAGGCUCCUAGCAAUGACAUAACUUGUAAUAAUUGCAUUUUUUUUUUGCUGAAGACGUCCUCUGGGGUUGUUUUAAGUUUGGAGUUUCCUCUGGUUUUCACAUAAAGAACAAACCAGUGAGGAAAGGGCUACAUAGCUGACCUCUCCUGUUUCUGAAAAACAAGCUUGUCACGAAUACAGGAUGAAAUGUAUUUGUUCCAGACAUUGUAACUAAACACAAAACCUUCAUAAUAUUGUGUUUCCUGAGCAAGUUGUGUUUGCCAAGGCUUCACUUACUACUGCAUGCGUUUGGUGACCUAUCUACAAAUAGCAGACCACUGGGCUGGAAGAUGGUAUGAAUAUUCCACACCUGCUCCUUAUCCAGUUCAAGCCAUUCAAGUGUAUUGGCCUAAAUUUUGUUUUCUCGGAAAGUCAAUCUCUGCAGGAAAAUCUAUUCUUUAUCCUUUAUCCGAUGUUUCUGCGCCUGUCUGUGUUUCUAUGUGUAUGUUUUAGGUUAUUUAGAGGGAUAGAAAAUUAUGCUUUCAUAUUACAGACUAUAUUUUAGCUAAUUUUGCUUUUUUAUUGAAUACGCUUUGUAAUACAAUAAAUGGAUAAUUUUAUGCUUA